UACAGAGGUCUCAAGCGUUGUUCGGAUUCAUUGGGCGUAAAGGGUGCGUAGGUGGCGGGGUAAGUCAGGUGUGAAAUCUCGGGGCUCAACCCCGAAACUGCACUUGAUACUGCCUUGCUCGAGUACUGGAGAGGAGAUUGGAAUUUACGGUGUAGCAGUGAAACGCGUAGAUAUCGUAAGGAAGACCAGUGGCGAAGGCGAAUCUCUGGACAGUUACUGACACUGAGGCACGAAGGCCAGGGGAGCAAACGGG
Molecule: ribosomal RNA, 253 nt
Filed under: uncultured bacterium
Lineage: Bacteria
Description: partial 16S ribosomal RNA
Rfam family: Bacterial small subunit ribosomal RNA
Source: RNAcentral